GGUGAGAUGGCCGAGUGGUUAUGGCGCUGCGUUCAGGUUAAGCUGAAUUCAUAGGUAUUAUAAAAUAUCGCAGUGGAGCAAUCCGCGUGGGUUCGAGUCCCACUCUCAUCA
Hypomontagnella submonticulosa is the source of this 111-nucleotide non-coding RNA. The record is from the annotation of a GenBank genome assembly. NCBI's taxonomy places the organism in Eukaryota, Fungi, Ascomycota, Sordariomycetes, Xylariales, Hypoxylaceae.